This 159-nucleotide ribosomal RNA is filed under the name uncultured bacterium. RNAcentral's name for it is "partial 16S ribosomal RNA". It matches the Rfam family "Bacterial small subunit ribosomal RNA", at positions 355 to 530 of the family's 1533-position model. The record is from RNAcentral.
UAAGGAAUAUUGGGCAAUGGGCGAAACCCUGAUCCAGCAAUGCCGCGUGAGUGAUGAAGGCCUUCGGGUUGUAAAGCUCUUUCAGGUGCGAAGAUAAUGACAGUAACACCAGAAGAAGCCCCGGCUAAAUUCGUGCCAGCAGCCGCGGUAAUAAUCACU